UGAGUAAUACAUCGGAACGUGUCUUCUAGUGGGGGAUAACUGCCCGAAAGGGCGGCUAAUACCGCAUGAGACCUGAGGGUGAAAGCGGGGGAUCGCAAGACCUCGCGCUGGAAGAGCGGCCGAUGUCCGAUUAGCUAGUUGGUGAGGUAAAGGCUCACCAAGGCGACGAUCGGUAGCUGGUCUGAGAGGACGACCAGCCACACUGGGACUGAGACACGGCCCAG
RNAcentral lists this ribosomal RNA (224 nucleotides) under uncultured bacterium. RNAcentral describes it as "partial 16S ribosomal RNA". It matches the Rfam family "Bacterial small subunit ribosomal RNA", at positions 107 to 334 of the family's 1533-position model. The record is from RNAcentral.